This 443-nucleotide ribosomal RNA is filed under the name uncultured bacterium. Its description in RNAcentral is "partial 16S ribosomal RNA". It matches the Rfam family "Bacterial small subunit ribosomal RNA", at positions 338 to 795 of the family's 1533-position model. The record is from RNAcentral.
CCUACGGGAGGCAGCAGUGGGGAAUAUUGGGCAAUGGUCGCAAGCCUGACCCAGCAACGCCGCGUGAAGGAAGAAGGCUUUCGGGUUGUAAACUUCUUUUCUCAGGGACGAAGCAAGUGACGGUACCUGAGGAAUAAGCCACGGCUAACUACGUGCCAGGAGGCGCGGGGAUACGUAGGUGGCAAGCGUUAUCCGGAUUUACUGGGUGUAAAGGGCGUGUAGGCGGGGACGCAAGUCAGAUGUGAAAACCACGGGCUCAACCUGUGGCCUGCAUUUGAAACUGUGUGUCUUGAGUACUGGAGAGGCAGACGGAAUGCGUGGUGUAGCGGUGAAAUGCGUAGAUAUUAGGAGGAACACCAGUGGCGAAGGCGGUCUGCUGGACAGCAACUGACGCUGAGGCGCGAAAGCGUGGGGAGCAAACAGGAUUAGAUACCCGAGUAGUC